CAGAGAUCCUCAACUGGCAACUUCAUUAGGCAAGGCAAGCCAUCAUCCAGUCUGUUCUCUCCACAUCCAUCACUGUUUGGUUGGGAUCUGCCAUGAAACUGGAAAGGAACAGACUACAAUGGACAGGCAGAACUGCAGAAAAGAUCAUUGGUGCCAACAUGUCCUCCAUCCAGGACUUAUACAAAACCAGAGUCAGUAAAAGGGCAGGAAACAUCACUACAGACCCAUCACAACCUGGAUACAACCUGUUCCAGCCCCUCCCCUCUGGUAGGCACUACAGAGCAAUGUACGCCAAAACAAACAGACACAGGAACAGUUUCUACCCACAGUCCAUCACUCUGAUGAAAAGUCAACUUCAGACACUUAGUGUCAGGCACAAUCCCUGUAUAACAACCCAGUAACUCUGACCCUAACAUCCACCUGCCUACUACUUAUUUAUUUGUCAUCUUGUAAUUCAGUGUUGUUCAUACUGUAUAUAUCAUCAUGGAUGUAGCACAAAAUUCUGGGCCCUGUACAUAGGCGGUCUCUGAGGGCCCCUCCCCACUUUAUUCAAGAUUCAAACAUUUUUGAGGGCCCCUCUACACAUUAGGGCCCUAUAUACUUAGUACCCCUUUUCCCCCCAG
This is a long non-coding RNA of Esox lucius (northern pike), 623 nucleotides long. The record is from Ensembl. Lineage: Eukaryota; Metazoa; Chordata; Actinopteri; Esociformes; Esocidae.